RNAcentral lists this ribosomal RNA (1333 nucleotides) under metagenome. RNAcentral's name for it is "bacterial LSU rRNA". It matches the Rfam family "Bacterial large subunit ribosomal RNA", at positions 982 to 2345 of the family's 2925-position model. The record is from RNAcentral.
UCUCAGACGAUCCGAGAUAAGUUGGGUGGUCAAAAGGGAAAGAGCCCAGACCAACAGCUAAGGCCCCAAAAUGUGUGUUAAGUGGAAAAGGAUGUGGGAUUCGAAGACAACUAGGAUGUUGGCUCAGAAGCAGCCAUUCAUUCAAAGAGUGCGUAAUAGCUCACUAGUCGAGAGGUCCUGCGCCGAAAAUGUCCGGGGCUAAAACACACUGCCGAAGCUUUGGAAUUGAGAAUUCAAUUGGUAGAGGAGCAUUCUUAAAGGGACGAAGCAGUACCGAAAGGAGCUGUGGACUUUUAAGAAGAGAGAAUGCCGGAAUGAGUAGCGAGAGGAAGGUGGGAAUCCUUCCGGCCGAAUAUCUAAGGUUUCCAGAGUAAAGCUGAUCUGCUCUGGGUAAGUCGGGGCCUAAGGCGAGGUCGAAAGACGUAGUCGAUGGAUAACAGGUUGAAAUUCCUGUACUAUCCUGUAACAGAACUGUGGGGACACAGGCAGAGAGCGUGAGCCGGGAAUGGAAAGACCGGUACAAGCGAGGUAGGAGAAGAGUUGGCAAAUCCGCUCUUUAAUCUGAAGACGUGAUGUGGACUGAAAAUAAGUAGGGAAGCACGUAGCUGACUGUCAAGAAAAGCCGCUAUUGUUUGCAGGAUACCCGUACCGUAAACCGACACAGGUGGAUGAGGAGAGAAUCCUAAGGCCGACGGGAGAAGCAUUGUUAAGGAACUCGGCAAAAUGACUCCGUAACUUCGGGAGAAGGAGUGCCAGUAAGAUGGCCGCAGAGAAUUGGCCCAAGCAACUGUUUAGCAAAAACACAGGUCUAUGCAAAACCGAAAGGUGAGGUAUAUGGGCUGACGCCUGCCCGGUGCUGGAAGGUUAAGGGGAGAGGUUAGCGCAAGCGAAGCUUUGAACUUAAGCCCCAGUAAACGGCGGCCGUAACAAUAACGGUCCUAAGGUAGCGAAAUUCCUUGUCGGGUAAGUUCCGACCCGCACGAAAGGCGUAAUGAUUUGGGCACUGUCUCAACAAUGCACCCGGUGAAAUUGAAAUACCAGUGAAGAUGCUGGUUACCUGCGCCAGGACGGAAAGACCCCAUGGAGCUUUACUCCAGCUUGAUACUGGGAUUCGGUAUUGCAUGUACAGGAUAGGUGGGAGGCUAGGAAAUGGUAACGCCAGUUGCCAUGGAGCCAAUGUUGGGAUACCACCCUUGCAGUACUGGGUUUCUAACCAGCAGCCGUGAUCCGGCUGGGGGACAAUGUCAGGUGGGGAGUUUGACUGGGGCGGUCGCCUCCGAAAGGGUAUCGGAGGCGCUCAAAGGUUCCCUCAGAAUGGUUGGAAACCAUUCGA